CCUACGGGGGGCUGCAGUGGGGAAUAUUGGGCAAUGGAGGAAACUCUGACCCAGCAACGCCGCGUGAAUGAUGAAGGUCUUCGGAUUGUAAAGUUCUUUUCUAAGGGACGAAGAAAGUGACGGUACCUUAGGAAUAAGCCUCGGCUAACUACGUGCCAGCAGCCGCGGUAAUACGUAGGAGGCGAGCGUUAUCCGGAUUGACUGGGCGUAAAGGGGGCGUAGGUGGUUAGGCAAGUCAGUAGCGAAACUCCAGGGCUCAACCUUGGAACUACUACUGAAACUGUUGGACUUGAGUGCAGGAGAGGCAACCGGAAUUCCUAGUGUAGCGGUGGAAUGCGUAGAUAUUAGGAGGAACACCAGUGGCGAAGGCGGGUUGCUGGACUGUAACUGACACUGAGGCACGAAAGCGUGGGGAGCAAACAGGAUUAGAUACCCGUGUAGUC
Molecule: ribosomal RNA, 443 nt
Filed under: uncultured bacterium
Lineage: Bacteria
Description: partial 16S ribosomal RNA
Rfam family: Bacterial small subunit ribosomal RNA
Source: RNAcentral